GCUCCUGUACGGUGUACAUUUUAGGACAUCGUCAGGUAUCAGAAAAAAAAUUGUCAGGUGUCAGUUGUCAAAAAAAAAAAAGUCAGGUAUCAGACAAAAAAUUGUCAGGUGUCAGAAAAAAAGUUGUCAGGUAUCAGAAAAAAAAUUGUCAGGUGUCAGAAAAAAAGUUGUCAGGUGUCAGAAAAAAAGUUGUCAGGUGUCAGAAAAAAAAUUGUCAGGUGUCAGAAAAAAAAUUGUCAGGUGUCAGAAAAAAAGUUGUCAGGUGUCAGAAAAAAAAUUGUCAGGUGUCAGAAAAAAAGUUGUCAGGUGUCAGAAAAAAAAUUGUCAGGUGUCAGAAAAAAAAUUGUCAGGUGUCAGAAAAAAAGUUGUCAGGUGUCAGAAAAAAAAUUGUCAGGUGUCAGAAAAAAAGUUGUCAGGUGUCAGAACACAAGGUACCAGAGAGAAAAUCUUCCUGCAGGUGGCGCUGUUGUCAUGUCCCACCCGAAUUGAUUUCCAAAUACGUCAUCAACGUGUGACCGUGGGAGAGCGUAAGGUCAUUGACCUCACCGGAGUUUUACCGUGGUUCAGGCUCCUAACGACACAAGCUUGAAGGGGAUGAUGCCGGUUUCAUAUCACUGGACUUAUCCAUGGCAGUAGAGUACAUCCAUG
Molecule: long non-coding RNA, 648 nt
Organism: Astatotilapia calliptera (eastern happy)
Lineage: Eukaryota; Metazoa; Chordata; Actinopteri; Cichliformes; Cichlidae
Source: Ensembl